This 2996-nucleotide long non-coding RNA is filed under the name Sinocyclocheilus grahami. RNAcentral describes it as "lncRNA (ENSSGRG00000043322.1)". Lineage: Eukaryota; Metazoa; Chordata; Actinopteri; Cypriniformes; Cyprinidae. The record is from RNAcentral.
GAUUUUUUAAAUUUUGUAAUUUUCCUUUUUGGUUCUCACUUGUUACAGUCUAUAUUACCUGUUUGUCUAUGGAUAUUUUUGUCUAUUAGUGUCCAAAAAGAAGCUUCCCAAAAAAUGAACAUCUGUUCCAUUGAAUCAGCGCUCCUGUCAACCAGUUGUGGAAAGUAUGUGUGCAUUGAAGGCAGGCGCAGGCGCAGGCCCAGGCCCAGUCAAUCUCUUGAGCUGGUCACGGAAAAUCGACAGGAAAAAGACCUUGAAAACUCAGCUAAAGUCAAGGUGUAUCAUAUUUUGUAUGGAACCAGAAAAUGCAUGGCUUUUUGCUUUGAGGUGAAUAAAAAGUCAGUUUUCCCUGUUGUUACUCAUGGUAAAGAGGUCAAAUUUAAGGUUUUACCCACAGACAAGCCGAUCACGGCAGGAAUCUUUGACCAAACGUUCUUAUUUCAAUGGGAUGAGCAAGACAGGCAUGGAGACUGGAAGAGUUUGAAAUCAGUGGCUGAACCCAGCAUGUACUUGAUUGAUGAAGAAAAUGGCAAAGAAAAGAGCAAAGUGAUCAUCACAAAUGAGCGGAGUCCGAUUUUUAAAAUCUGUUACACAGAUAUGAAAAUAGAUAAUGGGUUGCAGAGUCUCUGUAGAUCUGGCAAAUUCCAAGAGAACACGAUGAAAACUUCAUGCAGAAAGACCCCCUGGCAAAGACGGGACUCAAAACAGGGACCUUCUUGCUGCAAGAGAGCAGCACCCACUAAGCCACUGUGCUGCUCUGAAAGGUAACUAUUCUUAUUUGUAGACUUCACGUUUGUAAAGAGCACUGCUAUAAAAAGUGCUAUAUCGUUGUAUAUCGUUUCAGACACCCAAAAAUGCUUUCAAAGUGAAUAACUUAUACCAUAAAGAUAUAAUUUAUGAUUGUCUCUGACUGUUCUUUAAAAAACACUUGAGCAUAUUUAAACAAGUCUUGAAAUAGUGAGUAGGCUAUUAGUACGCAGUAUCCUAUCAAGGUGAUAUCAACUUCCAUCGACAUUAACCCUGUAAAGUCUGACAUGAAAUAACAGCCUGAAAAAAAAAAAUCUAAUUUUUUGAAAUGGAACACUUUGUUUAAAAAAAAAAAAAAGUGUCAGGCUUUUAUGGAAAAUAAGCACCUCAAUUUUAUUUACAGGCUCAAAAAUAUGUCAUUUGGUGCAAUUGCUGAUGGAUCAUAUUUGAUACUUGUGAUUUUUCAUGUAUGAAUAAUCAAGUAAGCCUAAGUUGCUUAAGUUCAUUAAAGGUGAACUAAGCGAUUUUUGCCAAAUGAUGUUGAUAUUUGAAAGCACCAAAACAAACAUGCCCAUACCCCAACAGGAACCCGCCCCUAUUUUGAUAACUCCGCCCCACACGUACAUACACAACCCUGCCAGCGACGAUGGCGGUAUCUGCUAUGCCUGCCGACUGCUGCAUAUAACAAAAGCUAACACAGAAUAGUCGUGUGAAAAAGCAAAAUCAAUGUAACUCACCUAUCAAAGCAACCUCGGCGUCCCAUUCCCUUCCGCUCUUUUGAGUUCUCUCCACCGCUGGAAGCUGCUCCCAAAUUUAUGCGGGUCCUACCUCUUGCCUGAUCGUAACCCUUCCUUUUAAUGUUUUGUUCCUCUGAAAUUUUCCUCCUUUUUAAAAUUUUUUAUCUGCCAUAUCGAUCAGCUAAUAUCUGUUCUGUGCACUCACUGAGCGCUCUCUUCUCUACUAGACACACCCCUUACUGCUGAUUGGCAGCGAGUGUGUUUUGGGACUCGGUCCGACACUGGUUGGGAAAGGGUUUUUCCAAAUAUUGCUUAGUGCACCUUUCAUUAAGUGUUCAUCUUGAAAUAUUAAUAACAAUAUAAAAGUUAUUUUUAUGGUUAUUUUUUUUUUUUUUAAAUCAUCAAGAUUUCACAGCAAAAAGACAUGCGUACCAUGAUCUGAAGGGGGACAGUUAUUAUACUAAGACCUUUUGCUUGCUAAAAAAGUAUAAACUAUGAAACUGAUAACAGAAGGCAUGUAGUAGAUUGUGUACAACAGGUUUUUGAUCAUGUUGAUCAUUUAUUGGCCUUUGAAAUUUGAGUAUCAAAUAAGAUGAUGAUAGCCUACUAAAGGGAAUCUUUCUCAUUUUCAAUCUUUCACAGCAAAACCAAGAGGAUGUAAUAUCAGUGAAGAGCUGAAUGCGUUUCACAAGCUUUCACCAACAAAAGGGCUCUGAUCAGUCUGCAUCUGCUGCAGGGUCCUUUUCUUGGAUGGAUGCUGAGAACAUGUGAGAGCAAGUGGAGUGAUUUCUUUCUGGUUCUUUGAGGCAUGGCAUUUUAUCCAUUUAUUUGCAUGUUUGCCUUUUUGUUGUAACCUAGUAAAUAUUACUGACAUGCAGUUUUAGGUUCAAACUCAGUUGCAUUAUUACUAUACAAACUGGCACUGUUUAGUUUGUCACAAUGAAAGUAUUUGAGCUAAUAAUUACAUGGCUUAUCAAAAUGUUUAAAUAAGCCAAAGACGUUACACAGGAACCUAACCCUUUAGUGUCAUAUUCUGUGAAUCACAUGCCUUUCUUUCACUUUUAACUAUGUUCAAAAACUAUUUGUGUUGCUUAAUAUUCUUGUGGAAACCGUGGUAUACUACCAUUUAAAAGCUUGUGCUAAGUAAGGAAGCAAUUAUUUUAAAUUGUAAUAAUAUGUCACAAUUUUAUAAUUUUUAAUGUACGAUUUUUGUUGCUUAAUAUUCUUGUGGAAACCGUGAUGAAAUUAAGGUCCUGCUGUCGGAGAGGUUCGUGCGGGGACGCUUUUUAUUUAAUAAUGUGUAAUUAUUCUGUGGACUGUUGUUCAAAAUUACUACUUCUAGAAACAACAGAACUAAUAAUAAUAAUAAUACUAAUUAUAAAAUAAUUUUGUUGCUUAAUAUUCUUGUGGAAACCGUGAUGAAAUUAAGGUCCUGCUGUCGGAGAGGUUCGUGCGGGGACGCUUUUUAUUUAAUAAUGUGUAAUUAUUCUGUGGACUGUUGUUCAAAAUUAC